RNAcentral lists this ribosomal RNA (403 nucleotides) under Bacteroidota bacterium. RNAcentral's name for it is "Bacteroidetes bacterium partial 16S ribosomal RNA". It matches the Rfam family "Bacterial small subunit ribosomal RNA", at positions 355 to 776 of the family's 1533-position model. The record is from RNAcentral. Lineage: Bacteria; Pseudomonadati; Bacteroidota.
UGGGGAAUAUUGCACAAUGGAGGGAACUCUGAUGCAGCGACGCCGCGUGAACGAAGAAGGCUUUCGAGUCGUAAAGUUCUUUUAUAUGGGAAGAUAAUGACGGUACCAUAGGAGGAAGCCCCGGCUAACUACGUGCCAGCAGCCGCGGUAAUACGUAGGGGGCGAGCGUUGUCCGGAAUCACUGGGCGUAAAGGGUUCGCAGGCGGUUUACCAAGUCCGAUGUGAAAGGCAUGGGCUCAACCCAUGUAAGCAUUGGAAACUGGUAGACUUGAGUUAAGGAGAGGUAAGUGGAAUUCCUAGUGUAGCGGUGAAAUGCGUAGAUAUUAGGAAGAAUACCGGUGGCGAAGGCGACUUACUGGACUUAAACUGACGCUGAGGAACGAAAGCGUGGGGAGCAAACAGG